AGUGAACGCUGGCGGUAGGCCUAACACAUGCAAGUCGAACGGCAGCACAGAGGAGCUUGCUCCUUGGGUGGCGAGUGGCGGACGGGUGAGGAAUACAUCGGAAUCUACUCUGUCGUGGGGGAUAACGUAGGGAAACUUACGCUAAUACCGCAUACGACCUACGGGUGAAAGCAGGGGACCUUCGGGCCUUGCGCGAGUGACUGAGCCGAUGUCGGAUUAGCUAGUUGGGGGGGUAAAGGCCCACCAAGGCGACGAUCCGUAGCUGGUCUGAGAGGACGAUCAGCCACACUGGAACUGAGACACGGUCCAGACUCCUACGGGAGGCAGCAGUGGGGAAUAUUGGACAAUGGGCGCAAGCCUGAUCCAGCCAUACCGCGUGGGUGAAGAAGGCCUUCGGGUUGUAAAGCCCUUUUGUUGGGAAAGAAAUCCAGCUGGCUAAUACCCGGUUGGGAUGACGGUACCCAAAGAAUAAGCACCGGCUAACUUCGUGCCAGCCGCCGCCGUAA
RNAcentral lists this ribosomal RNA (506 nucleotides) under uncultured bacterium. RNAcentral's name for it is "partial 16S ribosomal RNA". It matches the Rfam family "Bacterial small subunit ribosomal RNA", at positions 29 to 523 of the family's 1533-position model. The record is from RNAcentral.